AUAUUGGGUCAUCGUAAUCUCUGCAACAAGGAACUUCGGUCUGCCAGCUACAAUCCUUGCCGAACAACAACACUUCUCAACUUCUCAGCUUUUAUUUUGUUUUCUCUCUCUAAGCUUCGGAGGAGAGAGCCUGCGGUGGCCGCAGCCUGACCUAAUAGUGAUACUUUAGAUGGCAGGAAGGAACCGUGUUCAUCGGGAACUUGACCGCCAUCGUGGUCACCUUGUAGAAGGGCCUCUUGUCCGCGGUCCUAUACCCCGGAAUAUGCCUAAUCAUCAUGCUUUAUUAGAGGAAGAACUUGAAAUGCGGCAUGUUGAUAUUCGCAGGCUUUUGGGUGAAAAUCGGAGACUGGUUGAAGACCGAAUUACUCUGCAGCAGGAGUUGGGUGCUGCUAAGGAGGAGCUACAUCGCAUGAACCUUGUUGUGGCUGAUAUUCAGGCUGAACAUGAGCUCCAUUCCAGGGAACUUAUAGAAAAGGGUCUAAAGUUGGAAGCUGAUCUUCGAGCCAUUGAACCCCUGAAAAAUGAGGCCAGUCAACUAAGGACCGAAGUUCAAAGGCUGCAUGGCAUAAAGAAGGAUCUCCAAGGGCAGGUGCAGACACUAACAAAAGACAUUUCCAAAUUGCGAGCUGAAAACCAACAGAUUCCACUUUUAAGGGUGGAGAUUGACGGAUUACAUCAGGAGCUUUUUCAUGCUAGAUCUGCUGUUGAAUAUGAAAAGAAGGCAAAAAUUGAACUAAUGGACCAGAGACAGGGGAUGGAGAAAAACUUGGCGUCAAUGGCACACGAAGUGGAUAAGCUACGUUCUGAGCUUGCAAAUUCUGAGGGUAGAUCUUGGGUUCCCGGUGGACCGUACUCAAUAAAUUUCGGCACUCCUGAUAGCAACUUCCCUGCACCCUAUGGUGAGGGAUACGGGGGUCAUCUGGGUGCUGCCAACAAGGGCCCUUUAUAUGGUGCUGGCUCAGCUUCAUGGGGAGGACCUGAGAAACCUCGAAUGUCUCGCCGUUGAAUUGUUCAGAUCCUGUAGUGUGCUGUCCUGUAUAAACUGGAGCAAGGAGUGUCUGAUGUCUUCCAUUUGUGCGUAAACGAUCUUAUGUCAGCUCUCUUCCCAGUUGUCCUUGAAGAUAAUUGGUUAUGUUUACUUGUAUAUGGGCAUUAAGGUUACUCUUUCUGAACUAAUGGGAUCUAACAGAAUUGGCUGGUUUACCUGAUUGGACCAACUUAAUUUUAAAAUGUCCGAGGAGAUUCUUGAGGUGAAGUUGGAGAUUACAAAAGCUGAUAAGGUAUUUUUUGAGGUGGCUCUUUUGAAAUCUUGGGCUGCAGGUGGAAAUAAUCUUUCGAAUGUGACUUAGACAAAUGGAUUGAGAUGGGUCUGGGCAUUUUUCAGGUUGAAGGUUGGGUCAAUUGAUUAUUAGUAACAAGCACUCUCGUUAGAACCAUUUUGUUCAAAUUAUGCAGUCACACUUGAGAAGCAUUGCCUACACUUUUGUAAGUCAUCCUUGUUGAGGUUCUGAUUUUGCCCCCUACAUAUGGCAUUGUGGUUUUUUGUAAGUCAUCCUUGUUGAGGUUCUGAUUUUGCCCCCUACAUAUAGCAUUGUGGUUUGGUUAGGCAAGAACUUACCGGCUUCAGGAAGUUAGAGAAGUGCCGAGUCCCAGCCACCAAUUCAAGUGCUUCAGAAAGAUCAAGUGGUUGAUCAUGAAAUUUGACGAGACUUGCUCUUGAAAUGUUUGAUCUGAUCAGAGUGUAAUCUUACUUGGUUUUAAGUUAUCAUCUCUGGUGUGGAUGUUUUGCAGUCCACACGUUUGAUUGAGCUCCAGUCCAGUGUCAACUUGACUAGGGUGUGAGAGAUGGCUCAGUACUAUGCAGCUAUACUACAGGCAGACAUUUAUCAGUUUCUUUUGGUUAACUGUGAGGAGAUAGGCUGCGGUUUUAGGGAAGAAGCAAUUGAAAAGACUGAAAUACCCUUUAGAUUGAGUAUCAAAAGUGGCAGAAAAUAACAACUUGAAGGAUUAGAAAUGUUCGAUUUGAAAGGGUGAUUUACAAAAGUGGCAUAUUUCUCAAUACUUGGAGGGAGGAUCAAAAUUGGUAUUAAUUCAACUAAAUAAAUACGCGAUCCCCUUCCCUUUAGCAACACUUGAGCUUGAUUUUAACUCCUCUUGAGCUAAAGAAAUACCAAUAUACCAUUAAGAAUGUUAAUCGUAUUGAGUCAGUUUGAACCACUUCAUUUUAGGACUAAGGUUUCUCCGUUUUUAAUUUUUGUAUUCUCUUCAGUGGUAAAAUGGUUCCCAUUUCACCUGUUGAGAUAGAUUGGACUAACUAAUUAAAACACAAAUUUUUGUUUAUUCUUUGUUA
This is an RNA transcript of Ipomoea nil (Japanese morning glory), 2350 nucleotides long. It is a transcript of the gene named protein FLX-like 3, with no coding region annotated. Lineage: Eukaryota; Viridiplantae; Streptophyta; Magnoliopsida; Solanales; Convolvulaceae. The record is from RefSeq and is a predicted model, not a curated record. The transcript has 6 exons.